CUUUUACAUAUCCUAUUAAAUUAUUAUUAAAUAAUUUAAAUUUUCCCAAUAUUUUUUAUAUCUGUUUAUUAUUAAUUAUUCCUACUUUUGAAAGAAUUUUUUUAACUUAUAAAAUUAAAAAUAUAAAACUUAAGUUCCAAUCCUUUUGCUAUUUAAAUAUAGUAAGUCACAUAACCGAUAUAAUCGGCUUGUAUUUUUAUAUUACUAAUUUUAAUGAUGAUUCUUAUACCACUUCGAUUUUAUUCAGUACUUUUGUUAGUAUUAUAUUAAUGUCCUUAAGGAUUAUUUUUUUUCUUAAAAGGCUGAAUUAUAUUGGCUUCUUGUUUUUAGAAACUAUAUUAAAAUCGCUCCAUAAAACCUUUUUUUAUAUGCCUAUUUAUAUACUGGUUACUAAGAAAUAUAUAAAAAAUAUCCACAAUUUGAUGUGUUCCUUUUAUUCGAGUAUCCUUGAUGCGAGUUCUUUUGCUGCUUACUAUUUUGAAUAUUUAAUAUUAAGCUAUUUUAGUAUAGAUAGCUCAGAAAAUGUUUUUAUAUUGGUGUAUGUAAUAUUUUUAAUAUUACAUUUAUUAUCAUUAGUCAUUAUUUUGAAAUUAAAGAAGACAUAACAUUCUGUGUUAUGGUAUAAAAAACUUACACGAGUUUUUUUUUUUUUUUUUUUUUUUUCUUUCGUUUUGUUUUUGUUAAUGCCGCUUUGGUUAAUACCGUUUUAGUUAAUGUUUUUGUUAGCAUUUUUGUUUUUUUUUUCUUUGUUUUUCCUUUUGUUAACGUUUCUGUUAGCACUUUUAUGUUUUUAUUUGUUUUUCCUUUUGUUGACGUUUUUGUUUUUAUUAUCACCCCUCUCCUUACUCGAUCUUCAUUUGUGCUGACCUCUUCUUGUUUUUUGUUUAAACAUCUAUUACUAUAAAUAACAAAACCGAAUUAUAAAAUGACUAUGUCUCUGAAUAUAUAAUUCGCUGUAUGCAACAGAAGUAAAUUUUAUGCCAAUAACAUAUAAAAUUUAAAUUUUUUAUUAAUGUAACUUUUUUUUUUUUUUUAUAUAUUUUUUUUUUUUUGGGGGGGGGAGGCUGAUAAGAAACAACAAGUACGUGCAUGUGUUCUAACGUGUAUGUAUCCAUACAUGUAUUUACUGCUCACACAACUUUACCCUCUUUUAUCUAUUUGUAAUAUCUGCAUAUGUUUUUACUUGUUCAUAUAAUAUGUCAUUUUUUUCAAUUAAGUGUUUUUUUUUGUUAAUACAUUCAAAAAGUAAUUUUAUAUUUUCAUUUACUUGAUAUUUUUUAUGCUCAUCAUAUAAAAAGUUUAUAUAAAUAAAAGUCAAUUUUAAUAUAGAAUAGAUAUCUAA
This 1342-nucleotide long non-coding RNA is filed under the name Piliocolobus tephrosceles (Ugandan red Colobus). Its description in RNAcentral is "lncRNA (ENSPTEG00000003912.1)". Lineage: Eukaryota; Metazoa; Chordata; Mammalia; Primates; Cercopithecidae. The record is from RNAcentral.